Molecule: ribosomal RNA, 415 nt
Filed under: uncultured Methanosaeta sp.
Lineage: Archaea; Methanobacteriati; Methanobacteriota; Methanomicrobia; Methanotrichales; Methanotrichaceae
Description: bacterial SSU rRNA
Rfam family: Archaeal small subunit ribosomal RNA
Source: RNAcentral
UCUCGACCGGGGGCGACAGCAAUAUGAAGGUCAGGCUGAAGACCUUACCCGAUUAGCUGAGAGGUGGUGCAUGGCCGUCGUCAGUUCGUACUGUGAAGCAUCCUGUUAAGUCAGGCAACGAGCGAGACCCACGUCCACAGUUGCCAGCAUACCCUCCGGGGUGAUGGGUACACUGUGGAGACCGCCGCUGCUAAAGCGGAGGAAGGAGUGGGCAACGGUAGGUCAGUAUGCCCCGAAUCUCCCGGGCUACACGCGGGCUACAAUGGUUGGUACAAUGGGCAUCUACCCCGAAAGGGGAAGGAAAUCUCUUAAAGCCAAUCGUAGUUCGGAUUGAGGGCUGCAACUCGCCCUUAUGAAGCCGGAAUCCGUAGUAAUCGCGUUUCAACAGAACGCGGUGAAUACGUCCCUGCUCCUU